UACAUCAUAACCACCAAGCACAACUAUCCUUGGUUCAUUGAAAGUAAACCAGUGCUUUACACGAUUGCCAAAGGUCUUAAAACAGAAGUCAGCAUAGUCUGCGAAUAGUUCCCUGCAAAACAAAUAGCAUGAUGAUAAGUCGAUAAUCACACGAUGUUCAUCGUGCAACCUUUCACAUUAGAGGUAUAGCAUGCUGCAUUUAUCUAGAUAAACAUAUAGUGGCGCUUGUCUAUUGUGCAGUUUACUUUUGGAUUAACAUACAAAAAAAAUUGCAUGCGUAAUGCUCAGUGCUUUCACCAUGCAACAUGUAUAGUCACAUUGUAAUACAAAGAAUAACUAUUUGUUUGUAUAAACCAUUUAGUUUCCACACAUAUGCUUGUAAUUCCAAACUAUAAGUCAAGAAUAACUCUGCAAAACACAAUUCUGGCACAUGCGUAGGUAGAAAGAUCGAAUACUAAUUUCGCUUACACCGUCUUUGCAUUUAACCAUCCGCCAUACUUCUUCUCAAGUGCAAGAGGGAGAUCAUAGUGGUAAAGAUUGAUAUAAGGAGUAAUGCCUGCUUAAUAUUCAAGUAAACAGUCAGAUAUUAGUGUACUCGAGUUCGCAUGGAAGUUUCAGAGGUUGAAAUAGAUGCUUAGUUAUAUUGUACCUUUCUGAAGCAAGUAAUCUAUCAGAUUGUUGUAAUACGCUACACCUUCUUCGUUAACUUUUCCUUCGCCAUCUACAGAAAUCAAAGAUGAAUCAAUGGUGGAAACAGGUUGCGCUCAUUCAGGAAAAUAUUAGAGCUAUGUAGUACCAUGCUACAACUUCAGCAAAAUUCAGGAUACCUGGGAAGAUUCUGGACCAUGAGAUAGAAAAUCGGUAGGCAUCAAAAUUUAAUCCUUUCAUGAGAUUAACAUCUUCCUGUGCCAGCAUAAAAGGAUUAAACGUAAGUCCCUGGGAUUCUUUCUUGGCAAUUGUGGUGUGAUUAUUUAAUAUUUUCCCAAAAGAAAGGUAUGCAUAUAUAGUAUUUACAGUUAUUAAUGCACCGGGAGACAUCAAUCAGCUCAACUUUGUGAACCGUGAACUAUGCAGUGUAAUUUGAACGGUUACAGAAAUUUCACUCAUAGAAAAAGCUCGGUCAGACAUCUCUUCACUUAACAAAAGAAGAUAGACACUGCCAUUGGCUUCUAUUGACAAAUAGAACAUGAUGUCUAAAGAACCAUAAAACCAGUAAGAAUUGACCUUUUGACUAGCAACCUAGAAUGCUUCAACAAUACUAGUUUUGGAGAAGUUGGAUUGCUGGUUCUGUUUCUAUAGUAGGAGCCUCGAAUGCAAGUUAUGCAACUAGUUAUAGAAUCCUCCUCUAUACAUCGUCAUCAUGCAUAAAUAUAAUUACUGCAAGUUGCUAUAACUACUACUGUAACAGUGUAACGGCUGAAAAUUAUCCCGUGGGCAUUAGGACUGCUAGAUGUCUCUUUGUUUACUUUGGAUGUAUUCCCUCCGAUUCUAAAUUCUUGUCUCUAAUUUGUCCAAAUAUGGAUUUAUCUACUCUUAAAAGGCGUCUAGAUUUAUGUAAUAUUUCGACAGCAAUUUAGGAUCGGAGGGAGUAGUACCUUGUAGUGAUGAUAUUGAUCUGUUGUGACGUCUGCAUUUUGAUUCCCCACAAUAUUUCCUGUUCAUUGCGACACAAAAAAGAAAACAUUACUGUGGACGGACGAGUUUGAUGGAUCAAGAUCAGGAAAUAAUAACCUGUUUAAAUGUCAGUAUUAAAUAAUAAGAUGUUACAAUUUAAAAAACAAUUCGCUAGCGAACUGUUUUCAGUUACAUGCACACAGUUCAAUCCAAAUUAAAUGGCAUCAUCCAAACGCGUAAACUCCCUUCCCAUUUUCCCUCCCAGAGAGCCCAUGUAAAGCCCAUUUACUCUCCAGCCCAUGCUAAGCUGCCCGGCCUGCUUGGAUUUUGCUCAAGUUGGCCCACUGCCUGUGGAGAUUUGGGACGUCGGUGAUUUAGAUUUCUGGUUUCCUAUUUGGUUGGUACCACAUCGGCAAUUUUAAACGUGUGAUCUUCAGAACUUAUCAGAAAAUCUACCGGACUCUCGUAAGCAGUAAACACUGCCAGUAGAGCAAACUAAUAUUACUAGCGGUUUCGAAGCAAAGAUUUAGGGGAAGCACAACAGAAGUGGUAAGAAUAAUAAGCAGCAAUAGCAACUGGGGCUUUGGGAGCACCUGGGGUGUGCGCGAAUGCGUCCCAGACGGAGGGCCCGCGGCCGCCGGAGAAGGCCAUGCCCUCGACCUGGUACGCUGACGUGGCCGUCCCGAAGACGAAGCCCUUGGGGAACGACGCCCGGCUCAGCCCGCCCAGCCAAUGAGAGCCAGCGCCCGCGCCCGCGGCAGCACGGACGGAAGCCCCUCCUCCAUGGUACGCGGCCACCAGGGCAAGCAGCAGCAGCCACCUCGCCGUCGUCGUCGACCUCGCCAUCUCUAUCUCUCCCCUGCCAACUGGUAAAACAUUCACGCUGUGCCAGAGCCACCCUGGGCUGCUGCUAUUUAUGAGGGAGCGCGUGGCACCCUGCUAAUAAUUGCUCCUCGGUGACGGUCGAGUUUGGACGUAUUCGGCGGGUGGGGCUGCACCGCCGAUGUGCUCUGCGGUGAGGUGAGUGACGAGGGCGGAAACGGAAAUUUAUGGGCCAGUAGACGCCUCUCCCAGUUGGGUCGUCCGCUCUCGGGGACACGUAUUGUUCUGGCGCGGCUAGCGGUGGCAGUACGUACAAACCUCGAACCUGGCCAUGGCGCAUACCAUACCUUUGCCGUUCGUACGUGCGUGCGUGCGCGCGCUCCUUUUCGAUAAUGUCCAAAUGAAACACCACCGUUUGUUAUAGCCUCAACGGAAAAAUAAAAGAAGCUACUGCAUCGAUGUAAGCUCGAGCUGCUUCACCAGAUUUCUGUUCCCAACGCAAGCCACAGCUGACAGCCCGCACCGGCCUCCGAAGGAAAGCAAUGUCGCUUCUUUUUCUAUCUCUGUUUCGCGCACCCACGAUUAUUUUAUGUCUGUCUCAGUCGCUGAAAUGUGGAUCCACACUUGAGAUCGUCACAUCAUGGUGUCGUCGUCAACUUGUGGAUCUAUGUGUUAAUAGUAGCUCCGAUUUUAAGAAAAUAAUAAUAUAAAAUCACUAACGUUAUAGAGAUGAUUUGUCUCCGAAAUCUCCCACCCACAGCUAUCGCCGAGGGAGACAGUUUCUUCACCUCCAUCUUAUACGAGCCUAGAAUGCACCCGUCCAUGCUACCCAAAUUUAUCUGCCUCAAAUAUAUUUAAAAACUGAAAACAUGUUACUUCCUCCGAUCCUAAGUACCUGUUGCUUCAGUGGUACAGUGCGCUCGGCCAGCUCACACUCAAGUCUUCCUGGAAAUUUGUUGAGAGAACAAUCCUUUCCAUGGAAACAUAAAACCAAAUAUUAGCCAUUCGACCAAAAAGAUGUGUGGACCAAGAAGAAGCACAACGAUAUCAGUGGUACAUAGAUAUUUCUAAUGAAAUAGCAGUGAUACUAAAUAUGUUAAUGAAAUAUGAACGAAUCUCAAUGAGAUAUCAAUAUCAAUAAUAUAAUAUACAUUAUGAAAUAUCAAUGAUGUAUCAAUGUUAUAUCAAAGAAAUAAUAUAUGACAAUGGAAAUAUCAAUAAUGUAUCAAUGCAAUUUUAAUAAUAUAUCAAUGAAAGAAUAAUAUGUUAAUUAAAUAUGAAUGAAAUCAGAACGAAAUAUCAAUAAAAUUAAUGAGAUUUUUUUGUGAACUAUGGGUGUAUUUUAACAAAACUCAAGGAUGUGGUGGAAAAAUAUCCUACAGACGUCGGUGGAGUGGGAAACAAACUUAAGGGUCUAAAUGAAAAAUUGUGAAUGCUUUAUCUGAGGCCACACAUCUUUGAUCUAACAGCUAAUAUUUCAGUUUUCAUGUUUCACAUGAAGGGUGAUUUCCAUCCGAUACUUUCUCAACUUUGUUGAGGACGGAGUAUCAUUUAAAUCACUCUUUUUUUUAUAAAAUCAUUUAAACCACUCUAUGGCCCCACAAGCACAUACUGUUAGGAUAUAUGGUCCUUUUAUCUGCCUUAAUCCAUCUUUUCUAGGAAGUUUUUUUUACACUCAUCUUCUCUAGUAAGUUGGUCAGAUUCGAGGAACGCUUCCCCACCUUUUCGGGAUGUACUGUCAUUCGAGGUACUCAGAAGAUACGUUGACUCCAAUACUCUAGGAUUUGCGUGUUACUUUUUUUAAUGCAUGAAUGUGUUACUCGUACUGUUUUUUUGAACUCGGACAAAUGUGUUGCAUUUUUCAUUAGCUAUUACUACAACUAAGAAGAAAGUUUGAUACUCAAUUAAAUAAAGAAGAUGAACGAAACCUUUCUUGAGGCAGCGGGAAACAUGCGAACAAGUUGGAUGUUCGUGCUGUCCCGCACGAUCGCGAGAAAUCCAAGUAACAGUUGGUGUUCUGAAGUUUUUGGAGAUUCCACCGUUGGAUUGCAAUGAAAUUUCACAUUGUGGUACUAGAAAAAAAAAUGCGCACGAUCCCACCGAAGGGAUCGUUGAAACAAUGCUCGAAUCAGCGGGAAACAUGCGAACAUCGUGGUGUCACGCACGGCCACGAGAAAUCCGAAUAACACUCGGUAUUUUGGAAAUUGGCCUGAGAUUUCACCGUUGGAUCGCGACUAAAUUUCAGUGCCGUAGAAGACACAAUUUCGCACAAUCUUAUCGAAGGGAUCGUCGAAUCAAUACUUUAGGCAGUGGAUACCUUGCGAGAGAGAAAGAAGGCAGGAGGAAGAAAUGAGCACACGACUAGAGAACAAGAGGAAGAAAAAAGAUAAACGUGAAAAUACCAUCCUAUCUUUCUGAGUUUGGGAAGGGGGGUUUAUAGAAUCAGGCCUCCCAACUUAUUAGCCAGAACUGAGGACUGAGGAGAAAUUGUUGAUUUAGACGAUAAGCAACGAAAGGGAAGCACCGCUCUCUACGGCUCUACCGUCGUUGUUACAAAACACCACGGUAAAGGAUUUGUGGCACCCCCAUACGAACCCUUGUUGAUGACGGCCAUAUAUAUGCAGUAAGUCAGUAACCGAGGGGUGAAACCUCAAAAAAUGAGCAUCUAGGAGAGAACGGCGCCCAAGACGAUGGCAUUCGCCCAGUUCGACAAGCCGGCUAUGAAUUUUCACCAGGAGACCGUGACCCCUAAGCCGGCCUCGGGUGACACGAGCCAGAGCUCCACAGACUCACCUUCAACAAGGCGAAAGAAAUGAUCAAGUCUGAUCAAACUCAGUGGUUGUGUGCGUCAUUUUGAUGCAGAGGCCGUUCAUCCUCCUUUUCGAAAAAAAAGUCUGAUCAAACUCAAUAUCGAGCACUUAACAAGUCAACAUGACCACAGCUCAAAAUUCAUGCAACAAAGGGAUGCCAUUCUGGCCAUAAUCGAUACACGAUAUGAAACGAAAGAGUGAAUUAUUGUGCCAUCUGAAUUAUGGUGCCACCCAUACAACAGUGGGUAAAAACUCAAUAGGAUGAUAAUGGCGUUAGGCUAACUCACGGGCACCCCUUCAGUGUUAGCCCUUCAGCAUGUCUCUGAACCAGUAGGCCGAUGCCUUCGGGUGCCGUUCGAGUUUGGUUGAGUUGAAGUCGACAUACACGAUGCCAAACUUGGAUGUGUAGCCAGAUCCCCACUCAAAGUUGUCGAGGAGAGACCACGCAAAGUACCCAAGCACGUUAGCGCCACCGUCGAUGGCCUUUUUCAGCUCGGCCAGGUAACUCCGGUAGAACCGAACCCUCGUGACAUCGCGCAAGUACUCAUCACGGGUGAGGUUCCCAGGUUGGUCCAUUCCUGGUGACAUGAAGAAAAAGGUAAGUGUAUGCGUGCCAAGAUGGUUGAGGUUUGAAGUCGAAAACCAAAUAAAGUUAUAUGGAGCAGUUUGCAGUACCGUUUUCGGUUAUGACGAUUGCUGGAUUUCCAUACUUCACUCUGAGGUAGUUCACACAUCCGUACAUCCCUGUCGGGACUAUGUAAAGCCAAUCAGAAUUUGCCUGCAAAGGUUCACGCAUUGACAAGGAUUUAUCAUGUUAAUAUUGAACUUAACAGUGCAACUGUGCAUGCAUGGAAUAGUAGAUGAAAACAAAGCUGAAAAGGCAGCUUGGAGCUACAUAUAUACCUUUGGUCCAAUAGGUUUGCCAUUACGCAGAGCUGCAAGAUUUGAGCCAUUGAAGAUGAAUUGACAAUAUUUAUCAUAAUAUAUUGAUGUAAAACCUACAGUUUAAGGCAAGAAACUCACAGGCAUAAGUAACCUGCCAAUCGGCUGAGUAGCUAGUCGGCGCCUGCUGCACCAGUUUCUGGCCCUUUAUGUAGCUAGCUGUGUAUUGAUUGAUCCCAAUAUAGUCUGCUGAUCCCUUGACUAUUUUAACUUCAUCAGAAGUGAACCUGGGCAAUCUCUCUUUCACAAGGUCUUGCAUUAUCUGUGGGUAGUGUCCAUUUAUUAGUGGAUCAACAAACCUGCAUCCAAUGCCACCAUAUUAGAAGUGAAUUUUUUUGUCUGAAACUAAGGGGAUUUAUCAGAUUAUACUUGUAUGGCCUUACCAACCAACAUGGAAGUCCCUGGCUCUUUGAGCUGCUGCUUCGUCUUCAGCUGAAUUUGUGAGAGCUUCAUACCAAUUGAAGUCCAGGACGAUUCCAAUCUUCCCUUGCUGAGCUGCCUACAUUUUUGUAAAAAAAAAAAUCAUUCUUCCAUCAGCACUAUAGAUAGAAUGAUAUUCAUGAGAUACAUAUCUCUCAAGAUUGAGGAAAGAAAUGCAAGUGUUAUCAUCUUCCCUUGCUGAGCUGCCUACAUUUAAAAAAAAAUCAUUCUUCCAUCAGCACUAUAGAUAGAAUGAUAUUCAUGAGAUACAUAUCUCUCAAGAUUGAGGAAAGAAAUGCAAGUGUUAUCUGGAAUGAUUGGGCGUAAAGCGUUCCCAAUUAAGGCACAUUGACACACUUGAUUUAGUAAAAGAAUCAAGAAUUAUAAUCCAAAACGAUACUCAUAUAGGCUGCUCGUACUAAAGAAAUACCUGGUACUUGUUCCGGUAUCUUGCAACUGCAUAACCAUGUGCUAAGAGAAAAUUAUGUGCAACAAUGUAAGGUUCUGUUGCUGAGUUCCCACCAGCAGCACAUUUGGUACACCUUUGAGGAGGAGUGGACCCUACAUCGUAACCAAGAAGACAAGCUAUCCUUGGUUCAUUCAAUGUAAACCAGUGCUUUACACGAUUGCCAAAGGUCUUAAAACAGAAGUCAGCAUAGUCUGCGAAUAGUUCCCUACAAAACAAAUAGUAUGAAGACAAUCAUGCGUUGAUCAAUUGGAAUGGAAAGUGGGGGUAGCCCGGUCUCGAAAAAAAAAUCAUGCGUUGCUCAGACCCUGACAAAUAUAGUGUGGUUCGGUGGUUGUACGUACGUAGUGCAGUUUACUUUUGGGUAAACACACAAGAACAUUAACAUGCAAAAAUGUUCAUUAGUCAAUCUGUGAAAUCACUUUUAGUGGAGAAUUUGUUGUACAAAGAAUAACUCAUUAUUUGUCUAAACCAUUUAGUUUUCACACAUAUGCUUGUGAUCCCAGACUAUAAGUCAACAGAAUCUGAAAAGAAAGAUCGAAUACUAAUUUGGCUUACA
This 7633-nucleotide long non-coding RNA is filed under the name Brachypodium distachyon (stiff brome). RNAcentral describes it as "long non-coding RNA (BDIS_LNC000112)". Lineage: Eukaryota; Viridiplantae; Streptophyta; Magnoliopsida; Poales; Poaceae. The record is from RNAcentral.